Molecule: ribosomal RNA, 434 nt
Filed under: uncultured prokaryote
Description: partial 16S ribosomal RNA
Source: RNAcentral
CCCUACGGGGUGCAGCAGGUAGGUGGCAGGCGGAGGAAGGGCAAGACAGCCUAAAGGCUUAACUCAGAACGGGGAUAGCGGGAAAAAACCUGGAUUCCUGCUUGUGCAGGAAUGACCAACGGGCGCGGGAAUGGAAUAUGGGGACGCGGUGUGAGAGCGGAAGGUUGGAAAAUGGAUUCCGAGGCAGGCAAUAGGGGAUUCGACCCCCUUACUGACGUGCGGGGCUUGGAUAGGGAGAAGAGGAAGACUGGCUUCCCGCUUUCGCGGGAAUGACAGUCGGGCAAGGAAAUGGUAUAGGGGGGCGAUUCCUGGAAGAACACCUCCCUGCUGGAAGGCAGGAAGGUGCCACCCAGUAUGGAGAGGGCAGGCACCGCGAUGAUUGGUUUAGAACCCCCAACAUAAAGUUGGAGGCGUCCAUGAAUUGGCGGGAGAGC